RNAcentral lists this unclassified non-coding RNA (311 nucleotides) under Hevea brasiliensis (rubber tree). Lineage: Eukaryota; Viridiplantae; Streptophyta; Magnoliopsida; Malpighiales; Euphorbiaceae. The record is from RNAcentral.
AGCAGGAAACCAACUUCGAUCAUUCAAUGUAUUGCCACUUUGCCAGUAAGAGGAUGGACAAUCACGAGAACUGAUGAACAAGGCUAUUGGCCAUGUUGGGUCAGAUGUUGUAAUCAUUACAUUCGCAAUGUACUAAGCCAUUAUCCUUCAAAAGGUGAUGAGUGUAUAUGAUGUAUCUUAUCAUGAGAAAGAGGUUUGGAGCCAAAGAAGUAAUCUUUUGGUGCAAGUGCAGUGUAAUUUCAGCGACUAGACAAGAGUUGUUUUUGUUGCAUAUAUUUUAUGUCCUCUUUCCUGUUAUUGUGUUAACUUUU